RNAcentral lists this transfer RNA (91 nucleotides) under Agromyces rhizosphaerae. Its description in RNAcentral is "tRNA-Ser". The record is from RNAcentral. Lineage: Bacteria; Bacillati; Actinomycetota; Actinomycetes; Micrococcales; Microbacteriaceae.
CGAGCCCGCGUCGAGCGGGAUGACGCCGUUCGAGGUGGCGUGGCGCAGCACCGAGGUGAGCGCCGCCGCGUUCGGCUCGCGCGUGCCCGGC